Molecule: ribosomal RNA, 497 nt
Filed under: uncultured bacterium
Lineage: Bacteria
Description: partial 16S ribosomal RNA
Rfam family: Bacterial small subunit ribosomal RNA
Source: RNAcentral
GAUGAACGCUGGCGGCGUGCCUAAUACAUGCAAGUCGAGCGAACGGACGAGAAGCUUGCUUCUCUGAUGUUAGCGGCGGACGGGUGAGUAACACGUGGAUAACCUACCUAUAAGACUGGGAUAACUUCGGGAAACCGGAGCUAAUACCGGAUGAUAUUUUGAACCGCAUGAUUCAAAAGUGAAAGACGGUCUUGCUGUCACUUAUAGAUGGAUCCGCGCUGCAUUAGCUAGUUGGUAAGGUAAUGGCUUACCAAGGCAACGAUGCAUAGCCGACCUGAGAGGGUGAUCGGCCACACUGGAACUGAGACACGGUCCAGACUCCUACGGGAGGCAGCAGUAGGGAAUCUUCCGCAAUGGGCGAAAGCCUGACGGAGCAACGCCGCGUGAGUGAUGAAGGUCUUCGGAUCGUAAAACUCUGUUAUUAGGGAAGAACAUAUGUGUAAGUAACUGUGCACAUCUUGACGGUACCUAAUCAGAAAGCCACGGCUAACUACGUG